AUGAAUGCUGGCGGCGUGCCUAAUACAUGCAAGUCGAGCGGUAACAGGGUUUCACCGUGUUCUUGACACUCCGGGCUUAAGCGGGAGGUUAGAUUCGAGGACACCGUGAAGCUGCUGACGAGCGGCGGACGGCUGAGUAACGCGUGGGAACAUACCCCAAACUGAGGGAUAACGCACCGAAAGGUGUGCUAAUACCGCAUAUGAUCUUCGGAUUAAAGCUUCGGCGGUUUGGGAAUGGCCUGCGUACGAUUAGAUAGUUGGUGAGGUAAUGGCUCGCCAAGUCGACGAUCGUUAGAUGGUUUGAGAGGAUGAUCAUCCAGACUGGGACUGAGACACGGCCCAGACUCCUACGGGAGGCAGCAGUAGGGAAUCUUUCACAAUGGGCGAAAGCCUGAUGGAAGCAACGCCGCGUGCAGGAUGAAGGCCUUCGGGUUGUAAACUGCUUUUAUAAGCGAGAAAUAUGAUGGUAAGGUAUGAAUAAGGACCGGCUAACUACGUGCCAGCAGCGGC
Molecule: ribosomal RNA, 510 nt
Filed under: uncultured bacterium
Lineage: Bacteria
Description: bacterial SSU rRNA
Rfam family: Bacterial small subunit ribosomal RNA
Source: RNAcentral